CACGUAGGCACCAAGCGUUGUCCGGAUUUAUUGGGCGUAAAGAGCUCGUAGGCGGUUCGGUAAGUCGGGUGUGAAAACUCUGGGCUCAACCCAGAGCCGCCACCCGAUACUGCUGUGACUUGAGUUCGGUAGGGGAGCGGGGAAUUCCUGGUGUAGCGGUGAGAUGCGCAGAUAUCUGGAGGAACACCGGUGGCGAAGGCGGCAUCCUGGACCGGCAUUGACGCUGAGGCGCGAAAGCUAGGGGAGCAAACGGG
This 254-nucleotide ribosomal RNA is filed under the name uncultured bacterium. Its description in RNAcentral is "partial 16S ribosomal RNA". It matches the Rfam family "Bacterial small subunit ribosomal RNA", at positions 524 to 776 of the family's 1533-position model. The record is from RNAcentral.